AAUGAGCCUGCGAGUUGUGGUGUCUGGCAAGGUUAAGCAAACGCGAAGCCGUAGCGAAAGCGAGUCUGAAUAGGGCGCUUAGUCAGAUGCUGCAGACCCGAAACGAAGUGAUCUAUCCAUGAGCAAGUUGAAGCUAGUGUAAGAACUAGUGGAGGACUGAACCCAUAGGCGUUGAAAAGCCCCGGGAUGACUUGUGGAUAGGGGUGAAAGGCCAAUCAAACUUCGUGAUAGCUGGUUCUCUCCGAAAUAUAUUUAGGUAUAGCGUUGUGUCGUAAUAUAAGGGGGUAGAGCACUGAAUGGGCUAGGGCAUACACCAAUGUACCAAACCCUAUCAAACUCCGAAUACCUUAUAUGUAAUCACAGCAGUCAGGCGGCGAGUGAUAAAAUCCGUCGUCAAGAGGGAAACAACCCAGACUACCAGCUAAGGUCCCUAAAUCUUACUUAAGUGGAAAACGAUGUGAAGUUACUUAAACAACCAGGAGGUUGGCUUAGAAGCAGCCAUCCUUUAAAGAAAGCGUAAUAGCUCACUGGUCUAGUGAUUUUGCGCGGAAAAUAUAACGGGGCUAAAGUAAGUACCGAAGCUGUAGACUUAGUUUACUAAGUGGUAGGAGAGCGUUCUAUUUGCGUCGAAGGUAUACCGGUAAGGAGUGCUGGAGCGAAUAGAAGUGAGCAUGCAGGCAUGAGUAGCGAUAAUUAAUGUGAGAAUCAUUAACGCCGUAAACCCAAGGUUUCCUACGCGAUGCUCGUCAUCGUAGGGUUAGUCGGGUCCUAAGUCGAGUCCGAAAGGGGUAGACGAUGGCAAAUUGGUUAAUAUUCCAAUACCAACAUUAGUGUGCGAUGGAAGGACGCUUAGGGCUAAGGGGGCUAGCGGAUGGAAGUGCUAGUCUAAGGUCGUAGGAGGUUGUACAGGCAAAUCCGUAUAACAAUACUCCGAGAACUGAAAGGCUUUUUGAAGUCUUCGGAU
RNAcentral lists this ribosomal RNA (964 nucleotides) under Campylobacter jejuni. RNAcentral's name for it is "partial 23S ribosomal RNA". It matches the Rfam family "Bacterial large subunit ribosomal RNA", at positions 614 to 1586 of the family's 2925-position model. The record is from RNAcentral. Lineage: Bacteria; Pseudomonadati; Campylobacterota; Epsilonproteobacteria; Campylobacterales; Campylobacteraceae.